UACGGAGGGUGCAAGCGUUAUCCGGAUUUACUGGGUUUAAAGGGUGUGUAGGCGGGCAUUUAAGUCUGGGGUGAAAUCUCCGGGCUUAACUCGGAACGGUCAACUGAUACUGCGCGGCUAGAGUGCAGAAGGGGCAACUGGAAUUCUCGGUGUAGCGGUGAAAUGCGUAGAUAUCGAGAGGAACACCUGCGGCGAAGGCGGGUCUCUGGGCCGAUACUGACGCUGAGGAGCGAAAGCGUGGGGAGCGAACAGG
Molecule: ribosomal RNA, 253 nt
Filed under: uncultured bacterium
Lineage: Bacteria
Description: partial 16S ribosomal RNA
Rfam family: Bacterial small subunit ribosomal RNA
Source: RNAcentral